GUCCUCGUCAGAUUGGCUUGAACUGUCCUCGUCGGGUUCGCUUGAAUUGUCCUCGCCGGGUUGGCUUCCAUCUCCCUCGUCG
Non-coding RNA from Plasmodium vivax (malaria parasite P. vivax), 82 nucleotides. NCBI's taxonomy places the organism in Eukaryota, Apicomplexa, Aconoidasida, Haemosporida, Plasmodiidae. The record is from the annotation of a RefSeq genome assembly.